This 56-nucleotide transfer RNA is filed under the name Triticum urartu. It matches the Rfam family "tRNA", at positions 10 to 63 of the family's 71-position model. From Rfam's summary of the family: Transfer RNA (tRNA) molecules are approximately 80 nucleotides in length. Their secondary structure includes four short double-helical elements and three loops (D, anti-codon, and T loops). Lineage: Eukaryota; Viridiplantae; Streptophyta; Magnoliopsida; Poales; Poaceae. The record is from Rfam by way of RNAcentral.
ACUCAGUUGGUAGAGUACAAAGCUCUUAACCUUGUGGACGUGGGUACAAGCCCCAU